GGCCGCGUGGCCUAAUGGUUAAGGCGUUGGUUUUCGGUAUUUCCAAGAUGGAUGUCGUUGCACCAAAGAUCUGUGUGUUCGAAUCACACCGUGGUCG
Arthroderma sp. PD_2 is the source of this 97-nucleotide non-coding RNA. The record is from the annotation of a GenBank genome assembly. NCBI's taxonomy places the organism in Eukaryota, Fungi, Ascomycota, Eurotiomycetes, Onygenales, Arthrodermataceae.